GACGAACGCUGGCGGCGUGCUUAACACAUGCAAGUCGAACGGAAAGGCCCUGCUUUUGUGGGGUGCUCGAUUGGCGAACGGGUGAGUAACACGUGAGUAACCUGCCCUUGACUUUGGGAUAACUUCAGGAAACUGGGGCUAAUAUCGGAUAGGAGCUCCUGCUGCAUGUUGGGGGUUGGAAAGUUUCGGCGUUUGGGGAUGGACUCGCGGCUUAUCAGCUUGUUGGUGGGGUAGUGGCUUACCAAGGCUUUGACGGGUAGCCGGCCUGAGAGGGUGACCGGCCACAUUGGGACUGAGAUACGGCCCAGACUCCUACGGGAGGCAGCAGUGGGGAAUAUUGCACAAUGGGCGGAAGCCUGAUGCAGCAACGCCGCGUGCGGGAUGACGGCCUUCGGGUUGUAAACCGCUUUCGCCUGUGACGAAGCGUGAGUGACGGUAAUGGGUAAAGAAGCACCGGCUAACUACGUG
Molecule: ribosomal RNA, 468 nt
Filed under: uncultured bacterium
Lineage: Bacteria
Description: partial 16S ribosomal RNA
Rfam family: Bacterial small subunit ribosomal RNA
Source: RNAcentral